Long non-coding RNA from Cucumis melo (muskmelon), 488 nucleotides. RefSeq lists it as uncharacterized. The transcript is spliced from 3 exons. The record is from RefSeq and is a predicted model, not a curated record. NCBI's taxonomy places the organism in Eukaryota, Viridiplantae, Streptophyta, Magnoliopsida, Cucurbitales, Cucurbitaceae.
GUUACAAUAAAGGACAAGCUAGGGAAAUUAUGGAUAAGGCAGUUGAGCAUGGUGAAUUAUCCAAACCACUUAUUUAGGCCUUGAUACAUUUUGAGGCAAUUCAGUCUACGGCAAAGAGAAUUGAUUAUUUAGAUUCAUUAGUUGAAAAGGUCAUAGUGCCCAACAUAGAGAAAGCAACGGUCGUGAGUGCUUCAAUGAGGGAGGAGUUAUCGAGCAUUUUCUUUGAGAGGAAAGCUGAAAAGCAAGGAAUGUAGGCAAGGCAGUCACAGACAAGGGAAGAGGUAGAGUCGUUGUGUGAAGAAGAUGAAGACAAGCACGGUGACACCUUAUGUGGGGCAUGCGGUGAGAACUAUGCUUCAGAUGAAUUUUGGAUUUGCUGUGAUAAUUGUGAGAAAUGGUUCCACAGGAAAUUUGUUGUAUGAAGAAAUGCUUCAGUUUAUCAGUUUUCUUGUGAUGUAUUGAGCUUUCUAAAAUAGGGUAGUUGGUUU